Jatropha curcas is the source of this 224-nucleotide non-coding RNA. The record is from RefSeq and is a predicted model, not a curated record. Lineage: Eukaryota; Viridiplantae; Streptophyta; Magnoliopsida; Malpighiales; Euphorbiaceae.
AGCAGGCCUUGAGUUCCUGAGACGCGUUUUGGGCUAGGAGGUGGUUCCCUGGCCCAGGAACAAAACCGUGCGGGCCUGGGGCCCAAAGCGGACAAUAUCUCGGUAGAGCUUGGGAUGUUACAAUAAACAACUUUGAAAUUAUUAAAUAUAUAAAUAAAUAAAAAAAAAAUCCAAAAAUUUGUAAGAAAAGUAAAUAAAAAGUUAAAAAGUUAACAUUUUUAAAA